GACGAACGCUGGCGGCGUGCUCAACACAUGCAAGUCGAACGGAAAGGCCCUGCUUUUGUGGGGUGCUCGAGUGGCGAACGGGUGAGUAACACGUGAGUAACCUGCCCUUGACUUUGGGAUAACUUCAGGAAACUGGGGCUAAUACCGGAUAGGAGCUCCUGCUGCAUGGUGGGGGUUGGAAAGUUUCGGCGGUUGGGGAUGGACUCGCGGCUUAUCAGCUUGUUGGUGGGGUAGUGGCUUACCAAGGCUUUGACGGGUAGCCGGCCUGAGAGGGUGACCGGCCACAUUGGGACUGAGAUACGGCCCAGACUCCUACGGGAGGCAGCAGUGGGGAAUAUUGCACAAUGGGCGGAAGCCUGAUGCAGCAACGCCGCGUGCGGGAUGACGGCCUUCGGGUUGUAAACCGCUUUCGCCUGUGACGAAGCGUGAGUGGCGGUAAUGGGUAAAGAAGCACCGGCUAACUACGUG
This 468-nucleotide ribosomal RNA is filed under the name uncultured bacterium. Its description in RNAcentral is "partial 16S ribosomal RNA". It matches the Rfam family "Bacterial small subunit ribosomal RNA", at positions 28 to 507 of the family's 1533-position model. The record is from RNAcentral.